Molecule: ribosomal RNA, 2905 nt
Filed under: Escherichia coli
Lineage: Bacteria; Pseudomonadati; Pseudomonadota; Gammaproteobacteria; Enterobacterales; Enterobacteriaceae
Also listed under: 1 other name
Description: 23S ribosomal RNA
Rfam family: Bacterial large subunit ribosomal RNA
Source: RNAcentral
GGUUAAGCGACUAAGCGUACACGGUGGAUGCCCUGGCAGUCAGAGGCGAUGAAGGACGUGCUAAUCUGCGAUAAGCGUCGGUAAGGUGAUAUGAACCGUUAUAACCGGCGAUUUCCGAAUGGGGAAACCCAGUGUGUUUCGACACACUAUCAUUAACUGAAUCCAUAGGUUAAUGAGGCGAACCGGGGGAACUGAAACAUCUAAGUACCCCGAGGAAAAGAAAUCAACCGAGAUUCCCCCAGUAGCGGCGAGCGAACGGGGAGCAGCCCAGAGCCUGAAUCAGUGUGUGUGUUAGUGGAAGCGUCUGGAAAGGCGCGCGAUACAGGGUGACAGCCCCGUACACAAAAAUGCACAUACUGUGAGCUCGAUGAGUAGGGCGGGACACGUGGUAUCCUGUCUGAAUAUGGGGGGACCAUCCUCCAAGGCUAAAUACUCCUGACUGACCGAUAGUGAACCAGUACCGUGAGGGAAAGGCGAAAAGAACCCCGGCGAGGGGAGUGAAAAAGAACCUGAAACCGUGUACGUACAAGCAGUGGGAGCACGCUUCGGCGUGUGACUGCGUACCUUUUGUAUAAUGGGUCAGCGACUUAUAUUCUGUAGCAAGGUUAACCGAAUAGGGGAGCCGAAGGGAAACCGAGUCUUAACUGGGCGUUAAGUUGCAGGGUAUAGACCCGAAACCCGGUGAUCUAGCCAUGGGCAGGUUGAAGGUUGGGUAACACUAACUGGAGGACCGAACCGACUAAUGUUGAAAAAUUAGCGGAUGACUUGUGGCUGGGGGUGAAAGGCCAAUCAAACCGGGAGAUAGCUGGUUCUCCCCGAAAGCUAUUUAGGUAGCGCCUCGUGAAUUCAUCUCCGGGGGUAGAGCACUGUUUCGGCAAGGGGGUCAUCCCGACUUACCAACCCGAUGCAAACUGCGAAUACCGGAGAAUGUUAUCACGGGAGACACACGGCGGGUGCUAACGUCCGUCGUGAAGAGGGAAACAACCCAGACCGCCAGCUAAGGUCCCAAAGUCAUGGUUAAGUGGGAAACGAUGUGGGAAGGCCCAGACAGCCAGGAUGUUGGCUUAGAAGCAGCCAUCAUUUAAAGAAAGCGUAAUAGCUCACUGGUCGAGUCGGCCUGCGCGGAAGAUGUAACGGGGCUAAACCAUGCACCGAAGCUGCGGCAGCGACACUAUGUGUUGUUGGGUAGGGGAGCGUUCUGUAAGCCUGUGAAGGUGUGCUGUGAGGCAUGCUGGAGGUAUCAGAAGUGCGAAUGCUGACAUAAGUAACGAUAAAGCGGGUGAAAAGCCCGCUCGCCGGAAGACCAAGGGUUCCUGUCCAACGUUAAUCGGGGCAGGGUGAGUCGACCCCUAAGGCGAGGCCGAAAGGCGUAGUCGAUGGGAAACAGGUUAAUAUUCCUGUACUUGGUGUUACUGCGAAGGGGGGACGGAGAAGGCUAUGUUGGCCGGGCGACGGUUGUCCCGGUUUAAGCGUGUAGGCUGGUUUUCCAGGCAAAUCCGGAAAAUCAAGGCUGAGGCGUGAUGACGAGGCACUACGGUGCUGAAGCAACAAAUGCCCUGCUUCCAGGAAAAGCCUCUAAGCAUCAGGUAACAUUAAAUCGUACCCCAAACCGACACAGGUGGUCAGGUAGAGAAUACCAAGGCGCUUGAGAGAACUCGGGUGAAGGAACUAGGCAAAAUGGUGCCGUAACUUCGGGAGAAGGCACGCUGAUAUGUAGGUGAAGUCCCUCGCGGAUGGAGCUGAAAUCAGUCGAAGAUACCAGCUGGCUGCAACUGUUUAUUAAAAACACAGCACUGUGCAAACACGAAAGUGGACGUAUACGGUGUGACGCCUGCCCGGUGCCGGAAGGUUAAUUGAUGGGGUUAGCGGUAACGCGAAGCUCUUGAUCGAAGCCCCGGUAAACGGCGGCCGUAACUAUAACGGUCCUAAGGUAGCGAAAUUCCUUGUCGGGUAAGUUCCGACCUGCACGAAUGGCGUAAUGAUGGCCAGGCUGUCUCCACCCGAGACUCAGUGAAAUUGAACUCGCUGUGAAGAUGCAGUGUACCCGCGGCAAGACGGAAAGACCCCGUGAACCUUUACUAUAGCUUGACACUGAACAUUGAGCCUUGAUGUGUAGGAUAGGUGGGAGGCUUUGAAGUGUGGACGCCAGUCUGCAUGGAGCCGACCUUGAAAUACCACCCUUUAAUGUUUGAUGUUCUAACGUUGACCCGUAAUCCGGGUUGCGGACAGUGUCUGGUGGGUAGUUUGACUGGGGCGGUCUCCUCCUAAAGAGUAACGGAGGAGCACGAAGGUUGGCUAAUCCUGGUCGGACAUCAGGAGGUUAGUGCAAUGGCAUAAGCCAGCUUGACUGCGAGCGUGACGGCGCGAGCAGGUGCGAAAGCAGGUCAUAGUGAUCCGGUGGUUCUGAAUGGAAGGGCCAUCGCUCAACGGAUAAAAGGUACUCCGGGGAUAACAGGCUGAUACCGCCCAAGAGUUCAUAUCGACGGCGGUGUUUGGCACCUCGAUGUCGGCUCAUCACAUCCUGGGGCUGAAGUAGGUCCCAAGGGUAUGGCUGUUCGCCAUUUAAAGUGGUACGCGAGCUGGGUUUAGAACGUCGUGAGACAGUUCGGUCCCUAUCUGCCGUGGGCGCUGGAGAACUGAGGGGGGCUGCUCCUAGUACGAGAGGACCGGAGUGGACGCAUCACUGGUGUUCGGGUUGUCAUGCCAAUGGCACUGCCCGGUAGCUAAAUGCGGAAGAGAUAAGUGCUGAAAGCAUCUAAGCACGAAACUUGCCCCGAGAUGAGUUCUCCCUGACCCUUUAAGGGUCCUGAAGGAACGUUGAAGACGACGACGUUGAUAGGCCGGGUGUGUAAGCGCAGCGAUGCGUUGAGCUAACCGGUACUAAUGAACCGUGAGGCUUAACCUU